Molecule: long non-coding RNA, 535 nt
Organism: Selaginella moellendorffii
Lineage: Eukaryota; Viridiplantae; Streptophyta; Lycopodiopsida; Selaginellales; Selaginellaceae
Exons: 4
Source: RefSeq, a predicted model, not a curated record
CUGGAACACCUGAAACUAUAGCUUCCAUCAGCGAAUUCCAUCCACAGUGCGUCAGAAAUGCAGCGACGGAGCUAUGCUGCAAAACCUUCAUCUGAGGAGCCCAGGUCCAAGCGAGCAACCCACAGGAAUGCGUACUCACUUUGUUCCAAACCGUUGGCAAGCUCCUGAGUGUCGUUCAAAGAGAGAGUUGCCAAACUUCCAAAGGAUAUGUAGAGAACGGACUGAGGUGGCUGCUCGUCGAGCCAAUUCAUGCAGCAGAGUUCUUGCUCCCACACAGAGCGACUAUACUCUUUUGAAGGUCGUCAAAGGAAUUUACUAGUGCCCACGCGUCACUGUCGUCGAUGGACAUUCGGUGCCUGAUAUGGUCUUCACGGCCAUCUAAGAACCUAGAAGGAAGGUAGUGUGCGGGAAUCGGAGGGAGCCCGGGGAUACUGUCUAAAGUUCCUCCUGAAAAGAUUCUCUCGAAGGAAAGGAAUGUAGCAGGAUAUCAACGCGAAUGUUGCAGAAGACGUCCAGAAGCAUGCUCGGCUGAACC